RNAcentral lists this ribosomal RNA (460 nucleotides) under uncultured bacterium. Its description in RNAcentral is "partial 16S ribosomal RNA". It matches the Rfam family "Bacterial small subunit ribosomal RNA", at positions 338 to 795 of the family's 1533-position model. The record is from RNAcentral.
CCUACGGGUGGCAGCAGUGGGGAAUAUUGGUCAAUGGCCGGAAGGCUGACCCAGCCAAGUCGCGUGAGGGAAUAAGGCCCUCUGGGUCGUAAACCUCUUUUGUCAGGGCGCAGAGGCUUCCACGUGUGAAAGAGAGAAGAGUACCUGAAGACAAAGCAUCGGCUAACUCCGUGCCAGCAGCCGCGGUAAUACGGAGGAUGCGAGCGUUAUCCGGAUGUAUUGGGUUUAAAGGGUGCGAAGGCGGAGUGUCCAGUCAGCGGGAAAAUUUCGGGGCUCAACACCGUCGUGCCUGUGAAACUGACGCCCUUGAGUGAGUGAGAAGUAAGCGGAAUGCGUGGUGUAGCGGUGAAAUGCAUAGAUAUCACGCAGAACGCCGAUUGCGAAGGCAGCUUACCGGCGCUCAACUGACGCUGAGGCACGAAAGUGUGGGUAUCGAACAGGAUUAGAUACCCUAGUAGUC